This is a long non-coding RNA of Ornithodoros turicata, 298 nucleotides long. RefSeq lists it as uncharacterized. NCBI's taxonomy places the organism in Eukaryota, Metazoa, Arthropoda, Arachnida, Ixodida, Argasidae. The transcript is spliced from 3 exons. The record is from RefSeq and is a predicted model, not a curated record.
GAACGACAUCGAGACUGACCUCUACAACACUGAUCUCUGCUCGCGACGCAGGUCGUCAUCGGAAGGACACCGCGACGUCGCUGGUGAGGAUUGUCGUGAAGGUGGUACACACACUCAACAUGCCCGACAGAGGUCCGACGCUACAAAUUCAAAUAUGCGCUGUUCAGCAUCUGGGUCCUGCUCUGGUUCCUGCCCUUGCAUAGACGCUUGGUUUCGGUCCCUGGUGCUCUCCUCUUGGCACUAGCUGACCUUUGUCCAGGCUCGUCCAGCUCCCAGUCUACGUCUGGCUGGGUCAAGA